CGGGAGAGAGUGGAUGUUUUAUUUGUGGAGGACAAGAUCACUGGGCAAAGGGAUGCCCUAAGAAACGUGACGAGGAAAACUGCAUGACCAUCAGCAUCUUGGUCAUGUCGGGGUCGAGGAGUAGAUUUCCGCUAUCUGUGUACAAAGCGACUGCAGAAGAAGACGCACAUUUCUGCUGUCCGAUGUCAGACCAACAAAACGCACCAACACCGUCACAUCUCUGAGUAUAACAGGACUAAAUGUUACAUUCCUAAAUCCAAGUAUCCAAGUCGGUAAAAGCUGUGUUAUCUUGGCCAGAAUGGUGCUUUUUCCUGAACCUGGCUCUCCUAACAGUACCAAAGCAUUCUGGGAGGAGGUUGACUUUUGCAGGGCAUCCUUGACUUCCAGUAGGAAGUUCUGCCUAAGCUCAAAGUUCUGUGCCCUGCAAAAAAGAAUAAAUGAACCAAUUCAAUCAGUUGGGAGAUUAUAUUAUUACAAUGUUAUGAGAAAAUAACAGCAUGUGUUCAUUCAAAUUAAGCAAUAAAAAACAUACAAAU
This is a long non-coding RNA of Tachysurus vachellii, 536 nucleotides long. RefSeq lists it as uncharacterized. The record is from RefSeq and is a predicted model, not a curated record. NCBI's taxonomy places the organism in Eukaryota, Metazoa, Chordata, Actinopteri, Siluriformes, Bagridae. The transcript has 3 exons.